RNAcentral lists this transfer RNA (72 nucleotides) under Camelus bactrianus (Bactrian camel). It matches the Rfam family "tRNA". From Rfam's summary of the family: Transfer RNA (tRNA) molecules are approximately 80 nucleotides in length. The record is from Rfam by way of RNAcentral. Lineage: Eukaryota; Metazoa; Chordata; Mammalia; Artiodactyla; Camelidae. RNAcentral also lists the same sequence under 1 other name.
GGGGUUGUAGCUCAGUGGUAGAGUGUGUGGUUGGCAUGCGUGGGGUCCUGGGUUCAAUCCCCAGUACCUCCA